AGUUUGAUGCUGGCUCAGGAUGAACACUGGUUCCCUGCUUCACACCUGCUCGUCGAACGGACUUUUAUUGAACCCUAUCAAUAUAAAAGUUAGAGGCCGACCGGAGAGUAACCCGUGUUUAACCUGUUAUAUGCUGGGGGACAACACUUAGCACAAUGACUGCUAAUACCUCAUAAGCGCACAAAAUCCCAUGAUUCAGGGUGAAAAACUUCGGAGGCAUAUGAUGCACCCCCCUCAGAUUACCUGGGUGGUGACGUAACAGCUCACCGAGGCGACCAUUAGUAACCGGCCUGAGAGGGUGAACUGCCACCUUGAGACUGACACACGGCCCACACUCCUACCGGAGGACGCCCAGGGGAAUAUUGCACAAUGGGGGAAACCGUGAUGCAGCGACGCCGCGUGAGUGAACAAGUAUUUCGGUAUCUUAAGCUCUCUCAGCAGGGAAGAAAAUGACGGUACCUGCAUAAGAAGCCCCGGCUAACUACGUGCCAGCAGCCGCGGUAAUACGUAGGGGGCAAGCGUUAUCCGGAUUUAUUGGGUGUAAAGGGAGCGUAGACGGCAAGUCAAGUCUGAUGUGAAAUCCCGGGGCUCAACCCCGGGUCUGCAUUGGAAACUGUUUAGCUAGAGUGCAGGAGAGGUAAGUGGAAUUCCUAGUGUAGCGGUGAAAUGCGUAGAUAUUAGGAGGAACACCAGUGGCGAAGGCGGCUUUCUGGACUGUAACUGACGCUGAGGAGCGAAAGCAUGGGGAGCGAACAGGAUUAGAUACCCUGGUAGUCCAUGCCGUAAACGUUGGGCAGUAGGUGUGGGGGACAUUCCACGUUUUCCGCGCAGUAGUUAACGCACUAAGUGCCCCGCUUGGGGAGUACGCCCGCAAGGCUAAAACUCAAAGGAAUUGACGGGGGCCGGCACAAGCGGCGGAGCAUGCGGAUUAAUUCGUUGCAACGCGAAGAACAUUACCAAGGCUUGACAUGAACCGUAAAGGCCUGGAAACAGGUCCCCCAGUUGUGGCCGGUUUACAGGUGGUGCAUGGUUGUUGUCAGCUGGUGUAGUGAGAUGUUGGGUUAAGUCCCCGCGAACGAGCGCUACCCUUGUUAUACGAUGCCAGCGUGGUAUGCCGGGGACUCCUAGGAGCCUGCCGGGGUCAACUCGGAGGAAGGUGGGGAUGACGUCAAAUCAUCAUGCCCCUUGGUCCUUGGGCUUCAGGCUACGCUACAAUGGCCGGUACAAAGGGUUGUGAUAGUGUAAGGUGGAGCUAAUCCCCAAAAGCCGGUCUCAGUUCGGACCGAGGUGUCCAACUUGACCUCAUGAAGUCGGAGUCGUUAGUAAUCGCAGAUCAGCAACGAUGCGGUGAACCAGUUCCCGGCCCGAGUACACACCGCCCGUCAAG
This 1387-nucleotide ribosomal RNA is filed under the name uncultured bacterium. Its description in RNAcentral is "partial 16S ribosomal RNA". It matches the Rfam family "Bacterial small subunit ribosomal RNA". The record is from RNAcentral.